Molecule: ribosomal RNA, 212 nt
Filed under: Galkinius decimus
Lineage: Eukaryota; Metazoa; Arthropoda; Thecostraca; Balanomorpha; Pyrgomatidae
Description: partial 12S ribosomal RNA
Source: RNAcentral
AGUUUGUAUACCGCUGUUGUCAGUCAGUUUCUUUAGAAAACUUUCUAUCAUGAAAAAAUCAUAGACUUCAAGUAAAGGUGCAGCUUAUGUAAAAGAUAGAGGUGGGUUACAUUUAUAAGAUUUUAACGGAUAAAGUUUAUGAAAUAACUUUUUAAGUUGGAUUUAAUUGUAAAGUUUAAAAAAACUUGAUGAGAGCUCUAUCUUGUGUACAC